CCUAAUGCCUAGACUAAAAUCCGCCGCAGACCCAUAGAGAACCCCUAACGCCAAAAAUCAAAAUCCCUCCCUUUCCAAAAACCCAGCUGCCCACCCUCUAAAGAUCUCUCACACCAAAAGAGCAGCCAUUAUUUAACGGGGAAACCACCACGUUUGACAAAAGAAGACUAGAGCCGCUUCCUGAAGUCUUUUCUCUCCAUUCUUGAACUAGUCUCACUUCAAACAACUUUGGUUGAUUGAACCUACAAAGCUACUUUUAUCGUAGAUACGAGCUAUAUAAUCUUUUGAAAGACGAGGUUCCGUUCACUCGUGGUCGCCGGCGUAGUCUCUGAUCCGGUCACGGUCCAGUUCAAUUGUUCUUCUGAUUUUUCUAUGGUUUGUUGGAAACUAGGUGUGGAUUUACUUACCGGAGUUGGAGCAUGACAGAGACUAGGACAUCUAGUCAGGAUCGCUCAUUUAAAAGUGGAUUAACAGAAGAUUUUCUUUUCUUUUUGUGUCUUGAGUCUUCUUUUUUGUAUUUAUUUUAUGUCGUCUUUUACCUUUUAGUUUUGAAUAGUAAUGUCGAGUUUUAUUAUUAUUAUUGUACUUUCUAUUUUGCAUUUGAAAAGGUGUGUAAUAAAUCAAAAAUUCAAAAAAAAAAAAGAAUUGCAUU
Molecule: long non-coding RNA, 652 nt
Organism: Nicotiana attenuata
Lineage: Eukaryota; Viridiplantae; Streptophyta; Magnoliopsida; Solanales; Solanaceae
Exons: 2
Source: RefSeq, a predicted model, not a curated record